This 436-nucleotide ribosomal RNA is filed under the name uncultured Escherichia sp. RNAcentral's name for it is "bacterial SSU rRNA". It matches the Rfam family "Bacterial small subunit ribosomal RNA", at positions 355 to 783 of the family's 1533-position model. Lineage: Bacteria; Pseudomonadati; Pseudomonadota; Gammaproteobacteria; Enterobacterales; Enterobacteriaceae. The record is from RNAcentral.
UGGGGAAUAUUGCACAAUGGGCGCAAGCCUGAUGCAGCCAUGCCGCGUGUAUGAAGAAGGCCUUCGGGUUGUAAAGUACUUUCAGCGGGGAGGAAGGGAGUAAAGUUAAUACCUUUGCUCAUUGACGUUACCCGCAGAAGAAGCACCGGCUAACUCCGUGCCAGCAGCCGCGGUAAUACGGAGGGUGCAAGCGUUAAUCGGAAUUACUGGGCGUAAAGCGCACGCAGGCGGUUUGUUAAGUCAGAUGUGAAAUCCCCGGGCUCAACCUGGGAACUGCAUCUGAUACUGGCAAGCUUGAGUCUCGUAGAGGGGGGUAGAAUUCCAGGUGUAGCGGUGAAAUGCGUAGAGAUCUGGAGGAAUACCGGUGGCGAAGGCGGCCCCCUGGACGAAGACUGACGCUCAGGUGCGAAAGCGUGGGGAGCAAACAGGAUUAGAU